Molecule: ribosomal RNA, 118 nt
Filed under: Alligator mississippiensis (American alligator)
Lineage: Eukaryota; Metazoa; Chordata; Crocodylia; Alligatoridae
Source: RNAcentral
UAUUAUUAUUAUUAUUAUUAUUAUUAUGGGAUCCCGUCUGAUCUCGGAAGCUAAGCAGUCCCGGGCCCGGCUAGUACCUGGAUGGGAGACCGCCUGGGAAUCCCGGGUGCCGUAGGCC